AUUGAACGCUGGCGGCAGGCUUAACACAUGCAAGUCGAGCGAGCGGCGGACGGGUGAGUAAUGUAUGGGGAUCUGCCUGAUGGAGGGGGAUAACUACUGGAAACAGUAGCUAAUACCGCAUACCAUAAGAUGAGCCCAUAUGGGAUUAGCUUGUAGGUGAGGUAACGGCUCACCUAGGAGACGAUCCCUAGCUGGUCUGAGAGGAUGAGCAGCCACACUGGGACUGAGACACGGCCCAGACUCCUACGGGAGGCAGCAGUGGGGAAUAUUGGACAAUGGGCGAAAGCCUGAUCCAGCCAUGCCGCGUGUAUGAUGAAGGCCUUCGGGUUGUAAAGUACUUUUAGCAGAGAAGCGGUACCGGCAGAAGAAGCACCGGCUAACUCCGUGCCAGCAGCCGCGGUAAUUC
Molecule: ribosomal RNA, 406 nt
Filed under: uncultured bacterium
Lineage: Bacteria
Description: partial 16S ribosomal RNA
Rfam family: Bacterial small subunit ribosomal RNA
Source: RNAcentral